This is a non-coding RNA of Phoenix dactylifera (date palm), 720 nucleotides long. Lineage: Eukaryota; Viridiplantae; Streptophyta; Magnoliopsida; Arecales; Arecaceae. The record is from RefSeq and is a predicted model, not a curated record.
ACAAAUUGGGGAUGUAAAAAGGAGCCCUAAUUUAGCGCGCGUUUUCCGUAGAGGGGGGAGAAAAGGGGCGAGCGAGACCUUGCGCACGGCGGCGAAGGUCGCAGAGGGCGCAAGAGGCGGCAGUCUUGCUAACGGUCAUUGCUAAUGGAAGAUCAACUUCAUGAUGCUCUCCAUUCUGAACCCAGAGUCAAAGCCACCCUGCGUCUUGGGUCAGAAUUGUUCUCUGUUAAUUCAGAAACAGGCAUUCUAUCUGAACAGUUGGCUACAAUGAAGGAGAAGAGUAUGAGCAUACUAAAAGACCAUAUCACCAAACACAAUGCCCCAAAUGAUGUUCCUGAUGAAGCGCUUGAGGGGUCUUCGGGAGAUGAAAGUGAAGAACUUGACAAUCCAUCGAAGAAAUCCAGGAAGCAAAAAUAGCUGCCUUGUAAUCUUUGGUGAGGUAGAAGGAUCCAAAAGAAACAACUAAUGCGAUUAUGGGAAUGCAAUGCUGAUUAGAUGUAGCAAAGGCCUUGUAUCUUGUAGCUCCCUGUAUAAGAUAUCCAAAAAUGUGGCAAAACGGAAUGGACGUCAUAACGAAUUAGCCCACAUUCUUAUUCUGUUCAUGCUUGAUCAUGUACAGUGCUACUGGAUCAUCAUACUACUUGGUAUGUAAGUUUAACUUUUUUGCCGCCAUCUUAAUUAUGUGCAAUUAAUACAAAGUAUCAGUUGGGUGAUGAAAAA